CAGAAAAUAUAUUCAGCAUAGGAACUGUGAAAAUUUUUUUUUUUUUACUAGAGAAGUUUCUCUGGUCACAUAGAUUCUAGAAACCAUCCGGAGGAAGUGAAGUGUUCCCUUCAGAGCAUGAAGCUGGCUCUUGGUGUUGCUUUGUCACGAUUGACAUCAAUCGUUCUCUACCCUUUGGAAGAGAAAGAGGGAGAGAAUUUUCUGAGGGGG
Molecule: small nucleolar RNA, 210 nt
Organism: Sciurus vulgaris (Eurasian red squirrel)
Lineage: Eukaryota; Metazoa; Chordata; Mammalia; Rodentia; Sciuridae
Gene: U3
Rfam family: Small nucleolar RNA U3
About the family: Small nucleolar RNAs (snoRNAs) are involved in the processing and modification of rRNA in the nucleolus. There are two main classes of snoRNAs: the box C/D class, and the box H/ACA class.
Source: Ensembl